Molecule: ribosomal RNA, 672 nt
Filed under: Bombus pensylvanicus
Lineage: Eukaryota; Metazoa; Arthropoda; Insecta; Hymenoptera; Apidae
Description: eukaryotic LSU rRNA
Rfam family: Eukaryotic large subunit ribosomal RNA
Source: RNAcentral
AAGAUCGAAUGGGGAGAUUCAUCGUCGACGGCGUCGGUGAUCGUUGGUGAGCGAUGCUCCGGGUGGGCCUUCGUGGUUCCAUUGGCGAGGGCACGCCACCUUCGAUUCGAACGCUCCGGCGUCGUAGUCGUGCACUUCUCCCCUAGUAGAACGUCGCGACCCGUUGUGUGUCGGUCUACGGCCCGAGCGGGUGACUGUCGCGUCGCUUCGGCGCACGCGGCAGACCCUCGGUCGCCCGGCCGACUGCACGACGGUACACUAUACGGUAUCGGGCCGCAACCAAUCCAUUCUCGAAUGUGUGUGCGUCUAGACCGCCGCAAGCAUCGUCGAUCGUUCUCAGUUAAUACGGACUUUAGUUCCGUGCUGGGGCAUCGGCAGCUGUUGGCUGGCGGAUUUCUUGGACUGGCCGAGUCUCUGAUUACCGGUCGGCGACGCUAUUGCUUUGGGUACUCUCAGGACCCGUCUUGAAACACGGACCAAGGAGUCUAACAUGUACGCGAGUCAUUGGGACUUGUAAACCUAAAGGCGAAAUGAAAGUGAAAAUCGGCUCGCGUUCCCACCCUGAGUGGGUUGCGCGUGUCCGAUCGAGGGAGGAUGGGCCGCGCGACAAUGCGGCCUCGCACUCCCGGGGCGUCUCGUUCUCAUUGCGAGGAGAGGCGCACNUAGAGCGUA